GACGAACGCUGGCGGCGUGCUUAACACAUGCAAGUCGAACGGAAAGGCCCGGCUUUUGUGGGGUGCUCGAGUGGCGAACGGGUGAGUAACACGUGAGUAACCUGCCCUUGACUUUGGGAUAACUUCAGGAAACUGGGGCUAAUACCGGAUAGGAGCUCCUGCUGCAUGGUGGGGGUUGGAAAGUUUCGGCGGUUGGGGAUGGACUCGCGGCUUAUCAGCUUGUUGGUGGGGUAGUGGCUUACCAAGGCUUUGACGGGUAGCCGGCCUGAGAGGGUGACCGGCCACAUUGGGACUGAGAUAAGGCCCAGACUCCUACGGGAGGCAGCAGUGGGGAAUAUUGCACAAUGGGCGGAAGCCUGAUGCAGCAACGCCGCGUGCGGGAUGACGGUCUUCGGGUUGUAAACCGCUUUCGCCUGUGACGAAGCGUGAGUGACGGUAAUGGGUAAAGAAGCACCGGCUAACUACGUG
This 468-nucleotide ribosomal RNA is filed under the name uncultured bacterium. RNAcentral's name for it is "partial 16S ribosomal RNA". It matches the Rfam family "Bacterial small subunit ribosomal RNA", at positions 28 to 507 of the family's 1533-position model. The record is from RNAcentral.